UUCUAUCUAAUUAACAAACGUCCUCUAUCUAAUUAACAAAGCUACUCUUACAUAGCUACAAAUAUGUGAAGUAUUAAUUGAUAAAUUCACAAAAUUAUUAUCAACAAAAAAAGAUAAGAUUAUAGAGAGAGAGAGAGUUCUUGUUGUCAGCAUACAAUUACAAUGGAUGUCCGCCAGACCAUUUCGAGUUCCGCCCCUACCAUGUGGGAUAAUACCUUCACUUCAUCCUCUGUGGACGUGAAUCAGCUACAAGAAAAGUAUGCCCAAGACAUUGAAGAACUAACGGAAGAAGCAAGAAGCAUGCUGAUAGCUAAAGGAAGUACAGCUGCUGAGACACUAAUAUUGAUCGACACGCUUGAGCGUUUGGGAGUGGCGUAUCACUUUGAGCAAGAGAUUGAAGAUCAACUUCAAGAAAUCUUCCAAUUUCACUCUAAGAAUGAAAAUCACUAUGACUUAUUCACUACUGCACUUCAAUUUCGUCUGCUCAGGCAACAUCGCUAUUUCGUUUCUAGCAGUGUUUUCGAUAAAUUUAAGAAUGAAGACAAUGAAUUCAAAGAAACCCUCAAAAGUGAUGUUAAGGGCCUGCUAAGUUUGUAUGAAGCUGCCCAGCUGAGGAUUCAUGGGGAAACAAUCUUGGAAGAGGCUGUGGCCUUUACAACCCAUCAUCUGAAGCUUAUGUUGCAACAAUUAGAAUGUCCACUUCAAGAUCAGGUGAAGAGAGCUCUGCAGCACUCACUCCAUAGAGGUGUUCCGAGAAUCCAAACCCGCCACUUCAUUUCCUUCUACGAAACAGAUGACUCAAACAACCAACUGCUUCUAAAACUAGCCAGACUUGAUUUCAAUUAUUUGCAGAAUUUGUACAAGAAAGAGUUCCAUGACCUCACCAGGUGGUGGAACGAAUUUGACUUGAAAUCGAAACUUCCAUACGCAAGAGACAGAUUGGUGGAGGCCUAUUUUUGGGGCAUAGCACUCCAUUUUAAACCUCAAGAUUCUUAUGCUCGAGUGGAUAUUGCUAAAAGCGUACAAAUGCUUACAACAAUAAAUGAUACAUACGAUAGUUAUGCUACACUUGAAGAUGCUCACCUCUUUACUGAAAUCCUAGAAAGGUGGGAUGUCAAUGAAAUAAAUCGACUACCAAAUUACAUGAAAAUUGUCUACAAGUUUCUUCUAAGUAUAUAUGACGACUACGAAGUUGAAGCAUCCAAGCAAGCAAAAUCAUAUGCAGUUUGUUAUGCCAAAGAAACAAUGAAACAACUUUGUAAGGCUUACGACAAGGUGCUGAAGUGGGCUAUGGGACAAGUACAGAUACCUACAUUUGAAGAGUACGUUGCUAACAUGAUGGUCACAAGUUGCGUCUAUGUGCUUCUCUCUCCCACCAUUUCGGCCGCGAAAUCUGCCCCGAAAGAGACCAUCGACUGGCUAAUGGGUGAACCUAAGAUUGUUGCAGCUGCUGCUAAGAUUGGCCGAUAUUUGAACGACUUGGGAAGUUAUGAACGUGAAAGCAAGGGAGGAAAUUUGCCAGUAGCAGUCCGUUGCUAUAUGAAACAAUAUGGCGUAUCAAAAGAAGAGGCUCUGGAUAAGUUUGUGGAACAAGUUGAAGAUGCGUGGAAAGAUUUGAAUACAGAAUGGAUAACUCAAACUUCCAUACUAGGCAGGGAUAUUGUGGCUGAGCAGCUUCUGACCUAUGCUCGUGCAGCAGAAAUAACUUAUGAGAAUUGCGAAGAUGGGAUUACAAAUCCUGAAAAGUAUACGGCUCUCUUUGUGGAUCCCAUACUCAUCUAAUAAUGUUAUGUUGCUUAUUGCAACCUCUGUCAAUUGCAUCAAAUAAGUACCUACCCAGCCACCAGCCAGCUGUUGCAUAGGGAAGCUCACAGCUACAAAGGCCGGUGGCCCAACCACAAGUUGCUCAAACCCACCGAAGGACGACAACCACUAAGGCUAACUCACGCCACCAAGGCACACAUAAGGCUAGCAACGAGUCAAGCUCG
RNA transcript from Sesamum indicum (sesame), 1988 nucleotides. It is a transcript of the gene named tau-cadinol synthase, with no coding region annotated. Lineage: Eukaryota; Viridiplantae; Streptophyta; Magnoliopsida; Lamiales; Pedaliaceae. The record is from RefSeq and is a predicted model, not a curated record.